CCUACGGGUGGCAGCAGUGGGGAAUAUUGGACAAUGGGGGGAACCCUGAUGCAGCCAUGCCGCGUGUGUGAAGAAGGCCCUCGGGUUGUAAAGCACUUUCAGUGAGGAAGAACGCCUGGUGGUUAAUACCCAUCAGGAAAGACAUCACUCACAGAAGAAGCACCGGCUAACUCCGUGCCAGCAGCCGCGGUAAUACGGAGGGUGCGAGCGUUAAUCGGAAUUACUGGGCGUAAAGCGCGCGUAGGUGGCUUGAUAAGCCGGUUGUGAAAGCCCCGGGCUCAACCUGGGAACGGCAUCCGGAACUGUCAAGCUAGAGUGCAGGAGAGGAAGGUAGAAUUCCCGGUGUAGCGGUGAAAUGCGUAGAGAUCGGGAGGAAUACCAGUGGCGAAGGCGGCCUUCUGGACUGACACUGACACUGAGGUGCGAAAGCGUGGGUAGCAAACAGGAUUAGAUACCCGUGUAGUC
RNAcentral lists this ribosomal RNA (465 nucleotides) under Vreelandella stevensii. RNAcentral describes it as "partial 16S ribosomal RNA". It matches the Rfam family "Bacterial small subunit ribosomal RNA", at positions 338 to 795 of the family's 1533-position model. Lineage: Bacteria; Pseudomonadati; Pseudomonadota; Gammaproteobacteria; Oceanospirillales; Halomonadaceae. The record is from RNAcentral.